UAACCUCUGCUUAUUUUGUCUUUGCUGCAUAAUUUAAAAGAGCAACAAACCACACCAGAUGAUUAUGAUGAUGCGAUCACACCUGAACUGAGACAUUCUGCUACAGAUGGAUUAUCAGAAAACUAUGAUGAUGUCGUCAUUGUACAACAGUUCUCCAAUAAUAUUCAAGCAGACUAUGAUGAUGUGGGCGAGCAGCCAGGACAACAUGGAGGAACUGUGUAACUGAAAGCAAAUACUGUCUUAAAUACUUUUACAGAUUUAAAAAGAUAGAGUUUAAGUGGCUCUAUGUACUAUAUGCUUUAUCUGCAAUCACCAAUAUUUUAUAUUAAAUGUACAAAUAUAUAAAAAUUUUAUAUUUUUAC
Labeo rohita (rohu) is the source of this 362-nucleotide long non-coding RNA. RefSeq lists it as uncharacterized. The record is from RefSeq and is a predicted model, not a curated record. The transcript has 3 exons. NCBI's taxonomy places the organism in Eukaryota, Metazoa, Chordata, Actinopteri, Cypriniformes, Cyprinidae.